RNAcentral lists this ribosomal RNA (253 nucleotides) under uncultured bacterium. RNAcentral's name for it is "partial 16S ribosomal RNA". It matches the Rfam family "Bacterial small subunit ribosomal RNA", at positions 524 to 776 of the family's 1533-position model. The record is from RNAcentral.
GACAGAGAGUGCAAACGUUGCUCGGAAUCACUGGGCGUAAAGGGCGUGUAGGCGGGAAGGAUAGUCAGAUGUGAAAGCCCUGGGCUCAACCCAGGAACUGCAUUUGAAACUCCCUUUCUUGAGUGUCGGAGAGGAAAGCGGAAUUCCUGGUGUAGAGGUGAAAUUCGUAGAUAUCAGGAGGAACACCGGUGGCGAAGGCGGCUUUCUGGACGACAACUGACGCUGAGACGCGAAAGCGUGGGGGGCGAACAGG